Long non-coding RNA from Alexandromys fortis (reed vole), 1489 nucleotides. RefSeq lists it as uncharacterized. Lineage: Eukaryota; Metazoa; Chordata; Mammalia; Rodentia; Cricetidae. The record is from RefSeq and is a predicted model, not a curated record. The transcript has 4 exons.
CUGAUCAUUGCAACUGAGCCAAUCUGGUGGCCACUCGGCGCCCCCUUCCCGACUGUUUCCCACUCAGAUAUGGCCAUGAAGGGAUUGGACAAGGCAGGGUUCCUGUGAUGCACCAGCCGGUGACUACCACAGCGCAUUCUGGGCUUUGGCACCUCGGCCAGAGGAAGAUGACUUUGGGUCAAGAGCCCGGUUGCGAAAGCGACUAAGACGGUGGCGACAGAGCACCAUAUUGCAUUUCCGGACAUCUUUCAGUCGCCCCAAUAUCCAAUUCCAGCCAAUCUCAGGAUCCUGUCCCGGUUUUCUUCCCAGAACAGGAAGUCGACCACGGAAUUGCUGUCCACCCACACGUGUAUUCAAAUAGACUGAUGAGGCUGUAGAGAUGCUCCGCAGUUAGCGGUCCGCUACCCCCGCAGAGGACCCCGCGGGCUCAGGACCGCCUGACUCCAGUCCUGGGCAGCCGACGCCCCCUCUCGGCCUCCGCGGGUACUGCAUGCUGUGCACAUGCUCAGAUGCAGUGCUGCGGGCCCUGGAACGCAUUCCUCCUGAGUGGUAUUUCUUUCAAACGCUUUCAACAUUCUCUCUCUUUCACUCUCUGUCUCUCUCUCCUUCACUUUGUUUCUUCAUUUUAAUUUUAUUCUUUGUUUGAGACAGAGUCUCACUCUGUAGCCCAAGUUGGCCUCAGACUCACAGAUUCCCCUACCUUUGUUUCUAGUACCUGAAAGACAGGUGAAGUCUCUGCAAGCCCUACAAUCAGAGCCCCAUCCCUCCCCCACCCUCUCCGCCCCACCCCCAGCCCGCCCCACUCCUCACCCACCCCCAGCCCACUGCCACACUUCUCAUCCACCCCCAGCCCACUGCCACACUUCUCAUCCACCCGCAGCCCGCCCCACUCCUCACCCACCUCCAGCCCCUUUCUCGGCUCUGGAAGCCUGCGGUGCCCGGCUGCUGACAGCAGAUGGCGACCGUGCUCGCCUGCGCGCGCCGCCGCUAUCCCCGCAAAGCUUCCCAAAGGAACAGCCGCGACCUCCACACCCCCACUGAGACGACAGCCGGGAGCCUGAGAAGAUGAAGCAAAGCCUCGGACUCUGGACCGCUGCGGGGAGUGUGGGUGACAAACCCGCCUUGAGGGGCGACACGCCAGCCUCGCUGUUUUCCUUCACCUCCACCCUGCCCACCUGUCUGACCCCUCGCCUUGCCUCUCAAAUUUCUGUCCUCCGAGAACCCAGCUACAGCAAUUCCCAGAAGCUGAUGCAGGAGGAUCACAAAGUCCUCCUGCAUUCUUGUAAGAAUAAAUUUUAAAAUAAAAUGGGCUGGGAAGUGGUGGCGCACGCCUUUAACCCCAGCAGUCAGGAGGCAGAGGCAGACGGAUCUCCUAGUUCAAGGCCAGCCUGGUCUACGGAGUGAGUUCUAGGACAGCCAGGGCUAUACAGGGAAACCCUGUCUUGAAAACCGCAAUAAAUAAAUAAAAAUUGUAAGAAAAUAAAUACAA